RNAcentral lists this ribosomal RNA (125 nucleotides) under Pica pica hemileucoptera. RNAcentral describes it as "partial 16S ribosomal RNA". Lineage: Eukaryota; Metazoa; Chordata; Aves; Passeriformes; Corvidae. The record is from RNAcentral.
AGUCUUCCCAGUACGAAGGACAGGAAAGCGAGGCCAAUACUACAGGCAAGCCUUCGCCUUAAGUAAUGAAUCCAACUAAAUUACGAAAGGCUAUCACACCACAACCACGUCCUAGAAAAGGACUA